RNAcentral lists this ribosomal RNA (238 nucleotides) under uncultured bacterium. RNAcentral describes it as "partial 16S ribosomal RNA". It matches the Rfam family "Bacterial small subunit ribosomal RNA", at positions 57 to 305 of the family's 1533-position model. The record is from RNAcentral.
GCAAGUCGAGCGCGCCCUUCGGGGUGAGCGGCGGACGGGUGAGUAACGCGUAGGAAUCUACCCAGUGGUGGGGGACAACCUGGGGAAACCCAGGCUAAUACCGCAUACGCCCCAAGGGGGAAAGCGGGGGCUCUCUUCGGAGACCUCGCGCCAUUGGAUGAGCCUGCGUCGGAUUAGCUAGUUGGUGGGGUAAAGGCCUACCAAGGCGACGAUCCGUAGCUGGUCUGAGAGGACGAUC